RNAcentral lists this ribosomal RNA (500 nucleotides) under uncultured bacterium. RNAcentral describes it as "partial 16S ribosomal RNA". It matches the Rfam family "Bacterial small subunit ribosomal RNA", at positions 30 to 523 of the family's 1533-position model. The record is from RNAcentral.
AUUGAACGCUGGCGGAAUGCUUUACACAUGCAAGUCGAACGGCAGCACGGACUUCGGUCUGGUGGCGAGUGGCGAACGGGUGAGUAAUAUAUCGGAACGUGCCCAGUCGUGGGGGAUAACGUAGCGAAAGCUACGCUAAUACCGCAUACGAUCUACGGAUGAAAGCGGGGGAUCGCAAGACCUCGCGCGAUUGGAGCGGCCGAUAUCAGAUUAGGUAGUUGGUGAGGGAAAGGCUCACCAAGCCGACGAUCUGUAGCUGGUCUGAGAGGACGGCCAGCCACACUGGGACUGAGACACGGCCCAGACUCCGACGGGAGGCAGCAGUGGGGAAUUUUGGACAAUGGACGCAAGUCUGAUCCAGCCAUUCCGCGUGCAGGACGAAGGCCUUCGGGUUGUAAACUGCUUUUGUACAGAACGAAAAGGUCUCUAUUAAUACUAGGGGCUCAUGACGGUACUGUAAGAAUAAGCACCGGCUAACUACGUGCCAGCCGCCGCCGUAA